AUGAAAUGGAGACAGAGGAAUUUCCAUGUGGACACUUCACAUAUGAAGCAGAGCAGUUGCUGUCACAAUCUAAGGGAGCUUGCCGUCAGCGGCGCUUUGUUAACAACAAGUCCAGUUCGUCUCCAGCUCAUCAACAACACGCAGAGACACUUCGUUCUAAUGUGGACCACAGGGGUUAUCAAAUGGAUGAAGAUUCUUAAGGAUGGUCGUGAAGAACCAAAAACACUCCAAGAGGGGGCAGCGUCUCCGACACUCAGCCAGGUGGCUGUCAGAGUCGAGCACUGUCCCAGCUCUGCUGUGUCUCAUGAAGUUCUGAAAUGCACGUGCCCCAGUUUUGCUUGCCACCUGGAGCUCCAGCAAUGGAAGGUCUUGGGAGGAGAUUGGAUUGGAAGAAGGGAAAAAGCCAGUGUGUGUCUCCCCCUGCUCCUCUGCCCAGCACUGCGCCUCCAGCAGUGGCCACCCUGCCUCUGGAGACAGGCCCUGGCUCCCGGCGCUGGUGGGACCACUUCUUCCUGCUGUCCUUCCAGCCCCAGAAACCAAGAGCACCUUCUGCCGCUGUUACUGUCUGGGCUAUCUCACCUUCUCCUCUUUCCCCUUUUGUUCUGGCACUAUCUCAUACUUCCUAAUAGCAACUCCCUUGUUUGAAAGAUCUGCUGUGAAUCCUGUUGUUCAGAGAAGAUCCCAAUGGUUACAGUGGGCUGGGAGUCAUCAGUUUGGGACUUUGGUGUUUAGAUUUCUGAACCUGUGGUCUUUGGCAAGGCUUUAAGAAAGAAAAAACCCAUCUCCAUCAAUUUGGACUAUAUUCUCUGCAAGCAAUGUAUGCUGUACUUAAUCUCCAUUGGAAAAACGUAAUUGAAGUUUUAAGAAGGGUGGAAAAUUCAUGCAUAGUAAUAAUGAAAGCACAGUUUAAAUGUAAUAAUGGGAACCUUAGUUUUUAAAAGACCCAUUUAAGUAUCUAAUUAAUAAAGGACAAGGAAGGGCAAUAGAAGGCUCUCAACACAAAGCAACUCACUCAGAGCCCAAACAAAAACAGCUUUCUUAGAAACCAAGGAUGCUUGGCUAUUCACAGGGCAGCUUGAAACUCAUUCUACUGAUCUUUGAGAACACGCUAAAUUCAAAGUCAAAGGACAUUGAACAAAACAGUUCUAGAGAAUUAUGUAUCUCCACACAAUAUGUGGGGAAGAUAAGCAAGAAGGGAUUCAAAGGCUUCACUAAUAAUGCAAGCCGAGCAUCCCUUGUGAUACCAAAAAUCAGGGCUGUGUUUUCCAAGAGCGGACACAACCUCCGGGGGCAGAGGUAAGGGAUGGUACUGUGAGCAAAUUGGAAACCAGUUAGACAACCCAUAAUUUUAAAAAGUUUAAUUUCUCUGAACACCAUAAAACAUAGACCUGCCUCUCUUCAGUGAAGAGACAGUAGCUUGAGGAGUUUUAAUGUCACCUACUCAGGGAUGCUCUAAUUUUCAGACUGUGCUUUCCAGACGACCAAAAGACAUGACCAGAAUGCAUCUGCCUCAAAUGGAUGUUUCUGUGAAAAAGAGUUUACCUGUAAAACGGUUUGCACAUGUAUUCUGCGGCUUCUAAUCCUCCUCAGGCUGCUAUGAGCCCCUAUUCCUUCUGUAGCUUCUACAGUGUAACUCUUGAGACCAUGAAGAUACUUUCUUUUUUUGCAUGUGGAACUUUCUUGUACCUUUAUUUUUGAUUGAAGGAUAAUCACUUUACAAAGUUUACUAGUCUUUCCGGUACAACAGGGGACUCAGCCGUAAGUAUGCAUACAUUCCCUCCCUCUUGAGUCUCCCUCCCAGCUCCCCCAUCCACCCAGCCAGGUC
This 1825-nucleotide long non-coding RNA is filed under the name Bos grunniens (domestic yak). RNAcentral describes it as "lncRNA (ENSBGRG00000001697.1)". Lineage: Eukaryota; Metazoa; Chordata; Mammalia; Artiodactyla; Bovidae. The record is from RNAcentral.